Molecule: ribosomal RNA, 527 nt
Filed under: uncultured bacterium
Lineage: Bacteria
Description: partial 16S ribosomal RNA
Rfam family: Bacterial small subunit ribosomal RNA
Source: RNAcentral
UGGGGAAUUUUGGACAAUGGGCGAAAGCCUGAUCCAGCAAUGCCGCGUGUGUGAAGAAGGCCUUCGGGUUGUAAAGCACUUUUGUCCGGAAAGAAAUGGCUCUGGUUAAUACCUGGGGUCGAUGACGGUACCGGAAGAAUAAGGACCGGCUAACUACGUGCCAGCAGCCGCGGUAAUACGUAGGGUCCAAGCGUUAAUCGGAAUUACUGGGCGUAAAGCGUGCGCAGGCGGUUGUGCAAGACCGAUGUGAAAUCCCCGAGCUUAACUUGGGAAUUGCAUUGGUGACUGCACGGCUAGAGUGUGUCAGAGGGGGGUAGAAUUCCACGUGUAGCAGUGAAAUGCGUAGAGAUGUGGAGGAAUACCGAUGGCGAAGGCAGCCCCCUGGGAUAACACUGACGCUCAUGCACGAAAGCGUGGGGAGCAAACAGGAUUAGAUACCCUGGUAGUCCACGCCCUAAAACGAUGUCAACUAGUUGUUGGGGAUUCAUUUCCUUAGUAACGUAGCUAACGCGUGAAGUUGACCGCCU